RNAcentral lists this ribosomal RNA (309 nucleotides) under uncultured bacterium. RNAcentral describes it as "bacterial SSU rRNA". It matches the Rfam family "Bacterial small subunit ribosomal RNA", at positions 28 to 334 of the family's 1533-position model. The record is from RNAcentral.
GAUGAACGCUAGCGGCAGGCCUAACACAUGCAAGUCGAGGGGCAGCACGUCUUCGGAUGGUGGCGACCGGCGCACGGGUGCGUAACGCGUAUGCAACCUACCUCUUACAGUGGGAUAGCCCAGAGAAAUUUGGAUUAAUACCGCAUAGUAUGCGACAUCAGCAUUGAUGACGUAUUAAACAUUCAUGGGUAAGAGAUGGGCAUGCGUUCUAUUAGUUAGUUGGAGUGGUAACGGCACCCCAAGACAGCGAUAGAUAGGGGCCCGUGAGGGGGGAGUACCCCGACCACUGGUACGUGAGACACGGACCGA